GUGAAGAACGUAGCGAAAUGCGAUAAGUAGUGUGAAUUGCAGAAUUCAGUGAAUCAUCGAAUCUUUGAACGCACAUUGCGCCCCUUGGUAUUCCAUGGGGCAUGCCUGUUCGAGCGUCAUUUGUACCUUCAAGCUUUGCUUGGUGUUGGGUGUUUGUCUCGCCUUUGCGUGUAGACUCGCCUUAAAAUAAUUGGCAGCCGGCGUAUUGAUUUCGGAGCGCAGUACAUCUCGCGCUUUGCACUCAUAACGACAGCGUCCAAAAGUACAUUUUACACUCUUGACCUCGGAUCAGGUAGGGAUACCCGCUGAACUUAAGCAUAUCAAUAGCGGAGGA
This 334-nucleotide unclassified non-coding RNA is filed under the name soil metagenome. Its description in RNAcentral is "partial contains 5.8S ribosomal RNA, internal transcribed spacer 2, and large subunit ribosomal RNA". The stretch from base 2 to 119 matches the Rfam family "5.8S ribosomal RNA", at positions 37 to 154 of the family's 154-position model. The record is from RNAcentral.